Non-coding RNA from Ceratotherium simum simum (southern white rhinoceros), 678 nucleotides. The record is from RefSeq and is a predicted model, not a curated record. Lineage: Eukaryota; Metazoa; Chordata; Mammalia; Perissodactyla; Rhinocerotidae.
UCUGUAGAGUUUCUAAAGGAAGACUUAGGCCUCUUGUAUAAUGUGCUGCUAAAAUGUUGGGUUAGUCUAAAGGUCUCUGUUUCUCUAUAUAAGCUGUGAUUGUGUUUUUUGUUCUCUUCUAAGCUGUUUUCCUCCAUUGGUGGCUAUUAUAAAACAUCUCAUCCAGAGCUAAGGUGGGAGGGGAAGUUGCCUACUGAAAUAUGGUAUGAGGAUCUUAAGUAUUUUUUAAUGUACGUUAUGGGAAUUGUUUUUAAAAUGCUAAUCUAUGGUGUGGAGCUAUGAAAGAGCAUGCCAUCCUAGUCAGUGUGACACAUUGAAGGGUGAGAAGGACAGAGGUGGAAUUUGAACUAGUAGAGGAUGAAGACCAUGAUGUCUAGUGGGUAGAGUAAGCUCAGAGAUCUAAAAUGCCUCUCAGCAGAAGUGAGAGGAAUAAGGGCACUGAUACCUCAGUGAGAGAGGGGACAUAUUGUUAUUUUUGAACCAGAAGCCAUUGGAAAGCAGUUGGAACAGAGAAAAGACCUCCAAGCCCUGGCAGGCCAGGCACAGGCAGCAUUAAACACUGGUGUUUUGGGGUCUGAACUGUCACUUAGGGGGCAGUAAUGUGAGUUAGGGCCUUAUACUUGACCUAAGUGGACCAAACACUGGGAAACACAGGUGAUUAUGCUCCCUGAGUGUAUG